Molecule: long non-coding RNA, 1646 nt
Organism: Megalobrama amblycephala (Wuchang bream)
Lineage: Eukaryota; Metazoa; Chordata; Actinopteri; Cypriniformes; Xenocyprididae
Exons: 7
Source: RefSeq, a predicted model, not a curated record
UUCUCUUUCUUAGCUAUUUAACGAUCCAAAACUGACUGUGUUUAUCUGAAUAAUCGCUAAGACGGGCAUUUUGACAUAAUUUUGUAUGUAUUUUACCUUUUAAGCGCUAUAGAGAUCUGUGCCACUUUUGGCAAUGACUCGGCCUAUGUUCACUCACAGAUGGUCACACAAGCAAUAAUUAAAAUUGUCUUAAAAUUGACUUAGUUUCCUGGUAGUAUCUGAUAUGAAUUAACUAACGUUACACGUUUAAUGUAGCGAAUUUGUCAAUAACAACAUAUCUGCGGUAAAGCCUAAUAAUAAAAGUGCCAUAUAAGACAGAACAUUCUCUAAUAUGCAUAAUAUCAAAUCUAUUUAUAAGUACUGUAGCAAUUCAUUAUUUUAUACGCGCGGCGGUGGAAGGGGUCUCGUACCUGUGUGGGUGAAUCCGCCAUGUUUGUGCGGUUUGGAGCGGACACGAGCAAAACAAUGGAUUAUUUACCAAGAGAUAUUAAUGUUUGAGGUAAUUUCGACAACAUUCUGGUAAGCAUCGAAGCACAUUUACAUUUGUAGUAUGUUUACUUAGCAGAUGCUUAUAAAGGAACUUGCUAAAGUUAACUUCAUGUGACUGCCGCGAACGUGGCUUCCUUGGCUUGCCUGAAAACUUUCGGUAUGCCACUACAGCUAAUAAACGGACAAAAUGAUUUUCAUCUUUGAUCUAAGCAUUGUUAUGUGGAUCUCGAGUGUUUACGCUACUAAACUUUGACGAGCAACUCUCCGGUCUGCAAACAAAGACCUGAGGAAGAGGAGGAUGGCGUCCUGCAUUCACGUGGAGAAAGAGCAGUAAUCAAGAGAAGUGUUAUCAUCGCUGAAGAAAUGGCAGAUUUUAAUCCUCAGACACUGGACAGUGCAAGCCCUGAAGACAUAAGACCAUGGACAUCAUCUUCUGUGACUGAACUAGCAAGGAAAUGUUGGAGCCAAUGAGAAAGCUGUUUACUGAGCGAUGUAAACUGCUGCCAUCCACGUCACAUAACUGCUCUAACCGACGUUACCUGAAGAAUCCUUUCAGCGUGGCAGAUAUUCGCAAGCACCUGGAGCCAACUUAUGCUGAACUGGAUACUUACUGAAGAGCUACAACACUUAAGGUUUGUGCAAAGUUACACCAUAUCACUGAUAUCACGGCAUGCGUCAAGAUUUCAGAGACUCUGCGUGACAUUUUAAAUGUUUAUGAUCUUCAGGGUGUGUGCAUUAUGUCAACAUGAAACGCACCGUAGCCCUCCGUACUCCUCAGUGUACCUGUGUGAGGAGGACCCACAAUUCUUCAAGACUUGAAAUGAGGCGUUGGGAGAGCCAGACAUGACAGAUUCUGUCAUUGUGGUCAAUGAAACGAAAGCACAAGUCCUUCAAGCACUGCAGUUGUGAUAGAAGAUGACCUUCAGUUUUAUAAUAAAAGACUAAUCUUCAAAAAAAAUCUUCAGUUGUACAGCUGGAGGUUUAUUUUAUGUAUUUAUUUUUUAGGUGUUAUUGUUGUUUGUUUUUGUCUUUUGAGUUAGUAUUUUUAUGUCAUGAAGUCCUGCAGAGGUGCCUGAUCCUGUUCCUGGAGAUCUACCUGCCUGAAGAGUUCAGCUAAGUUAUUCAGCUCAUUAUUUUGCUAAGUACAACAGCAAAAC